Molecule: unclassified non-coding RNA, 240 nt
Filed under: soil metagenome
Description: partial contains 5.8S ribosomal RNA, internal transcribed spacer 2, and large subunit ribosomal RNA
Source: RNAcentral
AACACUGUUAACCUGCGGUACCUGCGGAGGGAUCAUUACCGAGUUUACAACUCCCAAACCCAAUGUGAACCAUACCAAACUGUUGCCUCGGCGGGGUCACGCCCCGGGUGCGUCGCAGCCCCGGAACCAGGCGCCCGCCGGAGGGACCAACCAAACUCUUUACUGUAGUCCCCUCGCGGACGUUAUUUCUUACAGCUCUGAGCAAAAAUUCAAAAUGAAUCAAAACUUUUAACAAUGGAU